Molecule: non-coding RNA, 324 nt
Filed under: Arabidopsis thaliana (thale cress)
Lineage: Eukaryota; Viridiplantae; Streptophyta; Magnoliopsida; Brassicales; Brassicaceae
Source: RNAcentral
UGCGUGCUCACUGCUCUAUCUGUCAGAUUCCGGCUCCGAUUCGGUCCCGGUCACGUUUUCUUCUUCUAAUUGUGUUCCCAUCUCUCACUUUCUCUCUCAUGUGUUCUUCAUCUCUCAAAGGUAUGAAAUGUUAUCUUGGGGUUUUCUUCUGGGGGAAGAGGUUUGGAUUAUCUAUAUCGAUAUUUUGGUAGCCACCCCUUUCAAAUUGGUCAUGCAAAGUCAAAAAGAGAUGAAUACUGCAGGGCUUUUGCGUAACCUAUUUGUAAUAUUCUGUGGUACUGAUUAAGAGUUGAUGUGCUUUGAUCUAUUUAAUUGAUUUCGUCA